CGUGACGCACCACAACCCACCCUGUGCGGGGAGGGAGUGGAGAUUGGCCUCCCGCGACGAAAGCACGGCUGGCUGAAAUCGUAGCCCCGGCGCCAGGACGACGCGAUCAGUGGUGGUUGACGAGAAUCCUUGUCAAGCAAGUGACGCGGUCGGAGCGGCACGCAUCGGGGCGGAGCACCCAUUUCUUAUACCUUGC
Molecule: unclassified non-coding RNA, 196 nt
Filed under: Botryodiscia tetrandra
Lineage: Eukaryota; Viridiplantae; Streptophyta; Magnoliopsida; Ranunculales; Menispermaceae
Description: Stephania tetrandra miscellaneous RNA
Source: RNAcentral